GUGGGGAGCAAACAGGAUUAGAUACCUGGUAGUCCACGCUGUAAACGAUGUCGAUUUGGAGUUUGUUGCCUAGAGUGAUGGGCUCCGAAGCUAACGCGAUAAAUCGACCGCUGGGGAGUACGGCCGCAAGGUUAAAACUCAAAUGAAUUGACGGGGGCCCGCACAAGCGGUGGAGCAUGUGGUUUAAUUCGAUGCAACGCGAAGAACCUUACCUGGUCUUGACAUCCAUAGAAUUCUGCAGAGAUGUGGGAGUGCCUUCGGGAACUAUGAGACAGGUGCUGCAUGGCUGUCGUCAGCUCGUGUUGUGAAAUGUUGGGUUAAGUCCCGCAACGAGCGCAACCCUUAUUCUUUGUUGCCAGCGAUUUGGUCGGGAACUCAAAGGAGACUGCCGUUGAUAAAGCGGAGGAAGGUGGGGACGACGUCAAGUCAUCAUGGCCCUUACGACCAGGGCUACACACGUGCUACAAUGGCGUAUACAAAGGGAAGCGAAGGUGCGAGCUGGAGCGGAUCUCAUAAAGUACGUCUAAGUUCGGAUUGGAGUCUGCAACUCGACUCCAUGAAGUCGGAAUCGCUAGUAAUCGUAGAUCAGAAUGCUACGGUGAAUACGUUCCCGGGCCUUGUACACACCGCCCGUCACACCAUGGGAGUGGGUUGCACCAGAAGUAGAUAGCUUAACCGCGAGGGGGGCGUUUACCACGGUGUGAUUCAUGACUGGGGUGAAGUCGUAACAAGGUAACCA
Molecule: ribosomal RNA, 739 nt
Filed under: uncultured Enterobacteriaceae bacterium
Lineage: Bacteria; Pseudomonadati; Pseudomonadota; Gammaproteobacteria; Enterobacterales; Enterobacteriaceae
Description: bacterial SSU rRNA
Rfam family: Bacterial small subunit ribosomal RNA
Source: RNAcentral